Salmo salar (Atlantic salmon) is the source of this 692-nucleotide long non-coding RNA. RefSeq lists it as uncharacterized. The record is from RefSeq and is a predicted model, not a curated record. NCBI's taxonomy places the organism in Eukaryota, Metazoa, Chordata, Actinopteri, Salmoniformes, Salmonidae.
GAUGGACACCCCAUUCAGAACCAAUCAUCAGAAAUCACGCGAGUUGAAUCAGAAAGUGGGGUGCCGCCUGACCCCACUAGUUGGUCAGAAGGUUCAAAUCAACGUUUCAUAUCGAAUUUCCGAGUAGGCGGAAAUGAUGAAUUUAUUGUGCUGUAUCUAAAAGUAGAAGAUCUUCUGAUGUCCUUUCCCUUCGUCAAAGGAAUCUUCUAGCUUGGAUGGAAGGAUGGAGGAAGGAGCAAAAAGGAGUACAGUAGUUAUCCAACCUGCUGACUAAGAAACCUCCUGAAACAUGUCAAUGACCUGAUGCUUGACCUCUACAGCAGUGCUUGGCCACCCACACAGUUACCACUGAUCUAUUCUACCACAUCCCAGGGAAAAGAGAGAGCAGAACCACCCCUCCUUAAAUUACAUUUACAGUGCAAAACCCUUGUGUCCUGAUUCAACAGACUUGUAAGUGUCAUGAAACGCCAGAAAACUCAGGAGGUUGAUGUGUUGCGGGCCCUCUGGAAAGUUCCAAAAUAUUCCCCUGUUGGAGAAGGAUGCUAAAUCUGACAUGUCACACAACUCUUCAAGAGGGCCACUACGCUCCAGAUCGCCUUCUGUGCUCAGAGGUCCCUGAUGAGGAUCUAGCCCAUCACACCACUCUUAUUAAUCAUUCAUCAAAUAAAACAAGGGGCCUUUAUAUACUCCCA